This 631-nucleotide long non-coding RNA is filed under the name Phasianus colchicus (ring-necked pheasant). RNAcentral's name for it is "lncRNA (ENSPCLG00000017690.1)". Lineage: Eukaryota; Metazoa; Chordata; Aves; Galliformes; Phasianidae. The record is from RNAcentral.
CAGUUAUACAGCUGCUAUGGGGCAGCAGUGGGGCAGCAGUGGGGCAGCAGUGGGGCAGCUAUAGGGCAGUUAUGGGGCAGCUAUAGGGCAGCUAUAGGGCAGCAGUGGGGCAGCUAUAGGGCAGCUGUGGGGCAGCUAUGGGGCAGCUAUAGGGCAGCUAUGGGGCAGCUAUAGGGCCGCUAUGGGGCAGCUAUAGGGCAGCAGUGGGGCAGCAGUGCGGCUGUUGCGCAGGCGUUCCGGCAGCUGUCGCACCGCUUCCAUGGCAAAGGCUCGGGGAAGAUGAAGACGGAGCGGCGCAUGAAGAAACUGGACGAGGAGGCGGUGAGUUUGGGGCCGGAAACGGCGAUUUUGGGCAAAGGGGGACUGGGGGAAAUGUGUGGGGCUGAGCCCCAUAGCUGUGGGUCUGGGGGUCCUGCUGUGGGUCUGGCCCCACACGUGUGGGUCUGGGGUCCCGCUAUGGGUCUGGCCCCACACGUGUGGGUCUGGGGGUCCUGCUAUGGGUUUGGGGUCCUGCUAUGGGUCUGGGGUCCCGCUGUGGGUCUGGCCCCACACGUGUAGGUCUGGAGGUCCCACUAUGGGUCUGGCCCCACACGUGUGGGUCUGGGGGUCCCGCUGUGGGUCUGGCCCCACA